Molecule: long non-coding RNA, 829 nt
Organism: Capsicum annuum
Lineage: Eukaryota; Viridiplantae; Streptophyta; Magnoliopsida; Solanales; Solanaceae
Exons: 3
Source: RefSeq, a predicted model, not a curated record
ACCUUUUUAAAUGUAAUCGCAAAAACAAAAUCCUUGCAGCAGCAACGGAAUCAAAAUGCAUUUCAGAGACUGACAUUGUCAUCGUCAUCUUCUUCGUUGCCGGUGUCGAGAAGUUGAAGAAGAAAUGCAUGCAGAUUCAAAGUUAUUCUUUCUGAUGAAAAAAAGACUCUCAUCAAGAACAAUCUAUCAGUUGUGGAUCAUCCCUAACAGAAAUCAAUGUUGAUUCGACAGAAAAAGUAUACCAGAAGAAGCAAAUCUGGAGAGAAAUUGCCAAUGCAAAAAUAUGACGAUGAAUGUAAUGACAAACAAUCCACCAACAAGGUUCGCAAAGUGAUUAAGUAGUAAAAAAAACAUGAGUAGGAAAGUCCAUGUUCAACUGUAAUCUGCUAAUUUUAAUUUCAGUUUAUUUUGUAACGAAUACAAGAUCUUUUAGUUAUGAACCAGUACUAUCUUAGAUAUUUGCAUAAUGUAAUGAAAAUAUGUGUGGUUGUUUCGUGAUUGUUUCACUCCAGAAACUAAAAAAAAUUUCAUGUACGACUAAAAUAGAAUGUCUUCACAAUCCAUUAUAUACAAUUAGUUUCUUUGAUAAUACCUAAACACAAGUAAUUUUUUAAUUAUAUUUAACAACCAAGAGAAAUAAAUAUUUUCAUUGUUUAUCACAGAAGAAAUACCACCAAGAACAUUCUCAUUUUAGGCAAACUAUAAGCACUUUCCAGCGACAAAAUGAAUAUGUUAUCAUCCUACAAGAAUCAAAACAGGAUUAAGGAAAAUCACAACAUGGACAAAAAACUGAUAAGUAAAAACGACAUACAACUUUAAUUAAAGGAAA